GGCGAGAAAACUUUAGUCAAUGUGCGAAAGACACGACAAGGUUAAGUCCGAGUGGUUUCUUGCUAAAGGAACCUUUUGUUCGGUCCUAGAAACACCGAUGAAUAAGGGGUGGGGCAAGUUCUGGUGUCAGCCGCCGCGGUAAAACCAGCACCUCAAGUGGUCAGGAUGAUUAUUGGGCCUAAAGCAUCCGUAGCCGGCUCUGUAAGUUUUCGGUUAAAUCUGUAUGCUCAACAUACAGGCUGCCGGGAAUACUGCAGAGCUAGGGAGU
This 268-nucleotide ribosomal RNA is filed under the name uncultured Nitrososphaerota archaeon. Its description in RNAcentral is "uncultured thaumarchaeote partial 16S ribosomal RNA". It matches the Rfam family "Archaeal small subunit ribosomal RNA", at positions 338 to 600 of the family's 1478-position model. The record is from RNAcentral. Lineage: Archaea; Thermoproteati; Nitrososphaerota.